This 344-nucleotide unclassified non-coding RNA is filed under the name soil metagenome. RNAcentral describes it as "partial contains 5.8S ribosomal RNA, internal transcribed spacer 2, and large subunit ribosomal RNA". The stretch from base 1 to 120 matches the Rfam family "5.8S ribosomal RNA", at positions 35 to 154 of the family's 154-position model. The record is from RNAcentral.
GAUGAAGAACGCAGCGAAAUGCGAUAAGUAAUGUGAAUUGCAGAAUCCAGUGAAUCAUCGAAUCUUUGAACGCACAUUGCGCCCGCCAGCAUUCUGGCGGGCAUGCCUGUUCGAGCGUCAUUUCAACCCUCAAGCCCCCGGGCUUGGUGUUGGGGAUCGGCGUGCCCUCGCGGCGCGCCGUCCCCUAAAUCUAGUGGCGGUCUCGCUGUAGCUUCCUCUGCGUAGUAGCAACACUCGCACUGGAUCGCAGCGCGGCCACGCCGUUAAACCCCCCACUUCUGAAAGUUUGACCUCGGAUCAGGUAGGAAUACCCGCUGAACUUAAGCAUAUCAAUAAGCGGAGGA